UGACUGGGGCGGUCGCCUCCCAAAGAGUAACGGAGGCGCACGAUGGUAGGCUCAAGCUGGUCGGACAUCAGCUGUUGAGUGCAAUGGCAUAAGCCUGCCUGACUGCGAGGCCGACGGGCCGAGCAGAGACGAAAGUCGGUCAUAGUGAUCCGGUGGUCCCGCGUGGAAGGGCCAUCGCUCAACGGAUAAAAGGUACGCCGGGGAUAACAGGCUGAUACUGCCCAAGAGU
Molecule: ribosomal RNA, 229 nt
Filed under: Exanthemachrysis gayraliae
Lineage: Eukaryota; Haptophyta; Pavlovophyceae; Pavlovales; Pavlovaceae
Description: partial Bacterial large subunit ribosomal RNA
Rfam family: Bacterial large subunit ribosomal RNA
Source: RNAcentral